Molecule: ribosomal RNA, 323 nt
Filed under: uncultured soil bacterium
Lineage: Bacteria
Description: bacterial SSU rRNA
Rfam family: Bacterial small subunit ribosomal RNA
Source: RNAcentral
AGAGUGAACGCUGGCGGUAGGCCUAACACAUGCAAGUCGAACGGCAGCACGGUAAGAGCUUGCUCUUAUGGGUGGCGAGUGGCGGACGGGUGAGGAAUACAUCGGAAUCUACCUUUUGGUGGGGGAUAACGUAGGGAAACUUACGCUAAUACCGCAUACGCCCUUCGGGGGAAAGCCGGGGACCAGCAAUGGCCUGGCGCUGAUAGAUGAGCCGAUGUCGGAUUAGCUAGUUGGUGAGGUAAUGGCUCACCAAGGCGACGAUCCGUAGCUGGUCUGAGAGGAUGAUCAGCCACACUGGAACUGAGACACGGUCCAGACCUCCU